RNAcentral lists this ribosomal RNA (1438 nucleotides) under Staphylococcus aureus. RNAcentral describes it as "partial 23S ribosomal RNA". It matches the Rfam family "Bacterial large subunit ribosomal RNA", at positions 1487 to 2925 of the family's 2925-position model. Lineage: Bacteria; Bacillati; Bacillota; Bacilli; Caryophanales; Staphylococcaceae. RNAcentral also lists the same sequence under 2 other names. The record is from RNAcentral.
CGAAGCGUGCGAUUGGAUUGCACGUCUAAGCAGUAAGGCUGAGUAUUAGGCAAAUCCGGUACUCGUUAAGGCUGAGCUGUGAUGGGGAGAAGACAUUGUGUCUUCGAGUCGUUGAUUUCACACUGCCGAGAAAAGCCUCUAGAUAGAAAAUAGGUGCCCGUACCGCAAACCGACACAGGUAGUCAAGAUGAGAAUUCUAAGGUGAGCGAGCGAACUCUCGUUAAGGAACUCGGCAAAAUGACCCCGUAACUUCGGGAGAAGGGGUGCUCUUUAGGGUUAACGCCCAGAAGAGCCGCAGUGAAUAGGCCCAAGCGACUGUUUAUCAAAAACACAGGUCUCUGCUAAACCGUAAGGUGAUGUAUAGGGGCUGACGCCUGCCCGGUGCUGGAAGGUUAAGAGGAGUGGUUAGCUUCUGCGAAGCUACGAAUCGAAGCCCCAGUAAACGGCGGCCGUAACUAUAACGGUCCUAAGGUAGCGAAAUUCCUUGUCGGGUAAGUUCCGACCCGCACGAAAGGCGUAACGAUUUGGGCACUGUCUCAACGAGAGACUCGGUGAAAUCAUAGUACCUGUGAAGAUGCAGGUUACCCGCGACAGGACGGAAAGACCCCGUGGAGCUUUACUGUAGCCUGAUAUUGAAAUUCGGCACAGCUUGUACAGGAUAGGUAGGAGCCUUUGAAACGUGAGCGCUAGCUUACGUGGAGGCGCUGGUGGGAUACUACCCUAGCUGUGUUGGCUUUCUAACCCGCACCACUUAUCGUGGUGGGAGACAGUGUCAGGCGGGCAGUUUGACUGGGGCGGUCGCCUCCUAAAAGGUAACGGAGGCGCUCAAAGGUUCCCUCAGAAUGGUUGGAAAUCAUUCAUAGAGUGUAAAGGCAUAAGGGAGCUUGACUGCGAGACCUACAAGUCGAGCAGGGUCGAAAGACGGACUUAGUGAUCCGGUGGUUCCGCAUGGAAGGGCCAUCGCUCAACGGAUAAAAGCUACCCCGGGGAUAACAGGCUUAUCUCCCCCAAGAGUUCACAUCGACGGGGAGGUUUGGCACCUCGAUGUCGGCUCAUCGCAUCCUGGGGCUGUAGUCGGUCCCAAGGGUUGGGCUGUUCGCCCAUUAAAGCGGUACGCGAGCUGGGUUCAGAACGUCGUGAGACAGUUCGGUCCCUAUCCGUCGUGGGCGUAGGAAAUUUGAGAGGAGCUGUCCUUAGUACGAGAGGACCGGGAUGGACAUACCUCUGGUGUACCAGUUGUCGUGCCAACGGCAUAGCUGGGUAGCUAUGUGUGGACGGGAUAAGUGCUGAAAGCAUCUAAGCAUGAAGCCCCCCUCAAGAUGAGAUUUCCCAACUUCGGUUAUAAGAUCCCUCAAAGAUGAUGAGGUUAAUAGGUUCGAGGUGGAAGCAUGGUGACAUGUGGAGCUGACGAAUACUAAUCGAUCGAAGACUUAAUCAA